This is a long non-coding RNA of Raphanus sativus (radish), 1033 nucleotides long. RefSeq lists it as uncharacterized. NCBI's taxonomy places the organism in Eukaryota, Viridiplantae, Streptophyta, Magnoliopsida, Brassicales, Brassicaceae. The transcript is spliced from 4 exons. The record is from RefSeq and is a predicted model, not a curated record.
GUUCUCAGUCAUCUUCUCCAGAACACUAAUAUCAUUUUUCCUUGAAAGAGCUAAGAUUAGAGUAACGGCGCAAAUCACUUAAGAGCAUGCCAUUAAUCUUCACAUUCAAUUUCAGUAAAGUCUAGAACCCACUACUUCUCACACCGUCCUCUUCAGCUUCUUUGUAAUCUCAUACCUAUAAAAAGGCAUCUUCUGUACCAUGAUUUUCACAGAUUCCUUCAUUUUCCACUCAACAUAUAAAGAUGAACCUUGAAGAACAAUAGCGACUUCCAAGACAACACUUUCUGAAUUGAAGCCUGAGCCUUGCAGUCGAAUCGUUGUCUCACGCAUCUCCGUUUUGGGAAGCUAUGAAUGUGAAGAAUAUGUGAUCACUGUUGAUCCUCAGAUUAUUGAGUUUCUCUUCACUGCCAAAGUGAACGAAAUUCAUGCGGAUAAAGGUUGGUGUUAUGGCUGCCCUCGCGUGUUCAAAGAAAUUGGUGCGAAAGAUAUAUUCAUUCACAUGUCUCUUUUUUUAAUAAGACUGAUGAUGUGGGUGUGCUGAGGUUCCGUGUGGAACUCUCUGUGUUGACAUACUGGUUCAGCUGUCUUAGUGGCCUUUGAUGAGGAGAUGGCUACAAUUACCAACAUUCAAGCUUCUAAAGCUGUGUAUAUUGUGGGAGGUGCAGUCCCUCAAGCUAAGCUGCCUGGAGUCGAGACACAAGGAUCAGCUGUUGAUUGCAAUGUUUCAGCAGUAUCAACCAAGCAGCAACUUGAUCCAGAAGAAAAUGGACCGAAGAAAGCUGCACCACCGCAAAAUGAACUUAUGAAACUUUUGGCUUUAGCAUCUUCUCAAUUUCUGUUUAGCAUCUUCCCAAUUUCUGUUUUCCUUUUUUUGUCUUUAAAUUCGAUGUGGUGGUCGAUGCUUCAAACUAUUAAUGAAAUUUCGUUUUCCUCUUUCUGCCUUUUGCUUUUUAAUACCAUAUAUAGCUGUCAAAACUCAAAAUCUUUUUGUUUUUUGGUAAAAAUAUAGCAGUAGGGGUCAAAUUUGUAUUAC